CCUACGGGAGGCAGCAGUGGGGAAUAUUGGACAAUGGGCGCAAGCCUGAUCCAGCGACGCCGCGUGAAGGAAGAAGUAUUUCGGUACGUAAAGCUCUAUCAGCAGGGAAGAAAAUGACGGUACCUGACUAAGAAGCCCCGGCUAACUACGUGCCAGCAGCCGCGGUAAUACGUAGGGGGCAAGCGUUAUCCGGAUUUACUGGGUGUAAAGGGAGCGUAGACGGCUUCGCAAGUCUGAAGUGAAAGGCCGGGGCCCAACCCCGGAACUGCUUUGGAAACUGUGAAGCUGGAGUGCAGGAGAGGUAAGCGGAAUUCCUGGUGUAGCGGUGAAAUGCGUAGAUAUCAGGAGGAACACCGGUGGCGAAGGCGGCUUACUGGACUGUAACUGACGUUGAGGCUCGAAGGCGUGGGGAGCAAACAGGAUUAGAUACCCUUGUAGUC
Molecule: ribosomal RNA, 440 nt
Filed under: uncultured bacterium
Lineage: Bacteria
Description: partial 16S ribosomal RNA
Rfam family: Bacterial small subunit ribosomal RNA
Source: RNAcentral